RNAcentral lists this ribosomal RNA (568 nucleotides) under uncultured bacterium. RNAcentral's name for it is "bacterial SSU rRNA". It matches the Rfam family "Bacterial small subunit ribosomal RNA", at positions 357 to 916 of the family's 1533-position model. The record is from RNAcentral.
GGGAAUCUUCCGCAAUGGACGAAAGUCUGACGGAGCAACGCCGCGUGAGCGAUGAAGGCCUUCGGGUCGUAAAGCUCUGUUGCCAGGGAAGAACAAGUACCGGAGUAACUGCCGGUACCUUGACGGUACCUGACCAGAAAGCCACGGCUAACUACGUGCCAGCAGCCGCGGUAAUACGUAGGUGGCAAGCGUUGUCCGGAAUUAUUGGGCGUAAAGCGCGCGCAGGCGGUUCCUUAAGUCUGAUGUGAAAGCCCCCGGCUCAACCGUGGAGGGUCAUUGGAAACUGGGGAACUUGAGUGCAGAAGAGGAGAGCGGAAUUCCACGUGUAGCGGUGAAACGCGUAGAGAUGUGGAGGAACACCAGUGGCGAAGGCGGCUCUCUGGUCUGUAACUGACGCUGAGGCGCGAAAGCGUGGGGAGCGAACAGGAUUAGAUACCCUGGUAGUCCACGCCGUAAACGAUGAGUGCUAAGUGUUAGAGGGUUUCCGCCCUUUAGUGCUGCAGCAAACGCAUUAAGCACUCCGCCUGGGGAGUACGGCCGCAAGGCUGAAACUUAAAGGAAUUGACGG